AGUCCAAGCCUCCCAGAUCCCAUGCGCCCGAGCACCUCCAUGGCCGAACUCCUCCUCGCGCGCCCUCGUCCACGAAGCAGUCAGCCUCCCAGGCGCGCCUCACCAACAGCCUUCACGCGAGCGCUCUCGCAGGAGCUCAAACCCGAGUCGAGCCAGUCACCCCUGCCGCCCGCCGGCGAUCUGCAACAACAAGACCCCUGCCGGAAGCAGCAGUUCCCUCGCAGCGGCGCGGUUUGUCCUUCAGUGCUCCCCUUGCAGCCUCCCCAGACUUGGUCUUCGCUUGGUGUUGGCGGACAGUCGAGCAGGAGCAUCUCCCGCACUGGCCUCGACCGCCUCUUGUAAUCUCCCUCGCAUCUCCCGCACUGUCCUCGACCGCCUCUUCGAGCCUCAUGGCGUCGACCAGAUUGGCAGGUCUCCUCUCCCAUUAAUUGUGGACGCUCUCCCUUGCAGGCCACACCAUAUGCAUCAGAAAACGAUGCGGGACUAUUAAUUUUACCGGAUUAUUAGGCCACGACGCGGAGGAUCGAGGUUGGUCUGAGGCCCAAGCGGCAAUGCGCAUGGUGCUCAUGUGCUUUCUGUAUCCUAUUGGAGGCUGUUGUGGUGCUGUGUGCUUGCUCUGUAUCUCCAUUGUUGUUCUAUUAUUCUAUAUCGGCAACAGUUCCAAGCCAAA
Triticum dicoccoides is the source of this 670-nucleotide long non-coding RNA. RefSeq lists it as uncharacterized. NCBI's taxonomy places the organism in Eukaryota, Viridiplantae, Streptophyta, Magnoliopsida, Poales, Poaceae. The transcript has 2 exons. The record is from RefSeq and is a predicted model, not a curated record.